UCCGAGUUAACCCCGGCAGUCCCCUACGAGUCCCCGCCAUAACGCGCUGGCAACACAGGGCAAGGGUUGCGCUCGUUGCGGGACUUAACCCAACAUCUCACGACACGAGCUGACGACAACCAUGCACCACCUGUCACAAGCCCAAAAAGGACCCCGUAUCUCUACGAGUUUUCAAGUGAUGUCAAGUCCAGGUAAGGUUCUUCGCGUUGCAUCGAAUUAAGCCGCAUGCUCCGCCGCUUGUGCGGGCCCCCGUCAAUUCCUUUGAGUUUUAACCUUGCGGCCGUACUCCCCAGGCGGGGCGCUUAAAGCGUUAGCUACGGCACAGAAACCACAACAGUCCCCACACCUAGCGCCCACCGUUUACAGCGUGGACUAC
RNAcentral lists this unclassified non-coding RNA (376 nucleotides) under uncultured Actinomycetes bacterium. RNAcentral describes it as "uncultured actinobacterium contains 16S-23S intergenic spacer region". The record is from RNAcentral. Lineage: Bacteria; Bacillati; Actinomycetota; Actinomycetes.